UCCGCUCCCCGGGCAGUCGCUGGUUUUCGCAAGAGAGCUGGAGGAAAGUCCGGACACUACAGAGCAGUGUGCCUUGUGAAAACGGGGGACGGUGAUUGGAGACGAUCACUGGACAGAUAGUGCCGCAGAAAUUAAACCGCCUUUUAAUGCUUCGGCUGAGGAAGGUAAGGGUGAAAAGGUGGAGUAAGAGCCCACCGCGCUUAGGGUAACCGAAGCGGCUUGGUAAACCUCUCACAGUGCAAGACAGAACAGGGGAAGGGCAGCUCGUCCGUUUGAUCCCCGGGUAAUAGUCGCAGAGAUAAAUGACUGCCAAGGCUGGUAAUUGGACCAGCUAAACAGAAUCCGGCUUACAGGGGAGCGGCCUUU
Molecule: RNase P RNA, 366 nt
Filed under: Akkermansiaceae bacterium
Lineage: Bacteria; Pseudomonadati; Verrucomicrobiota; Verrucomicrobiia; Verrucomicrobiales; Akkermansiaceae
Description: RNase P RNA component class A
Rfam family: Bacterial RNase P class A
About the family: Ribonuclease P (RNase P) is a ubiquitous endoribonuclease, found in archaea, bacteria and eukarya as well as chloroplasts and mitochondria.
Source: RNAcentral